Molecule: non-coding RNA, 203 nt
Filed under: Pseudomonas cichorii
Lineage: Bacteria; Pseudomonadati; Pseudomonadota; Gammaproteobacteria; Pseudomonadales; Pseudomonadaceae
Source: RNAcentral
UUACCAUCGCGCCCCGUCGGUUUCCGAGAGGAACUAACAGGGAAUUCGAGGGCCUCGCACCUGCGCAGCUCAAACGAAACUGCCCCCGCAACUGUAGGCAUCGAGCCAACUCCAUCAUGGCCACUGGGUAGUUCAUUCCCGGGAAGGCUGGAGUCAGGUGAUGAAAUGCCAGUCAGGAGACCUGCCGACCUGCAACUUCACUG